GUCUUCUUCUAGGGUUUUUGUUUUCAUAUCUUUUCUCUCUCCAUCUUGAGUUUCCUGAGAGCGUCUCGGAUCUGAAACUCCUCCUUCUACUUUCCAUCUUUGGAAGAGUCCAAAUCAAGAAGAAGGAGGCACCUGAUCAACCAUCAAAGAAGGAUCAGCGCAGUACUAGCAUACUGUGCUGAUUUCCUGAAGCAGGACUUCUGAUCGAGAUUCGUGGGCUCGUGUGGAUGACUCCUAGAGGCCAGACGCGUGUGUGGCUUGCAACAUCAUCCUUAAGCCCGGAUCAACGAGGUUAGAGCAUCUAACUUGCAAGGUAAUAGAUCUGAUCUAUUGUUUAAUACAUACAUUAGAUGUGGUAUAGAAACAUGUUGAUAUGAUCAACAUGUAGUUCAUGCUAUAUUUAUAUAUUUUAAUUUAUGAUUUAAUGCUAUGUAAU
Molecule: long non-coding RNA, 436 nt
Filed under: Elaeis guineensis (African oil palm)
Lineage: Eukaryota; Viridiplantae; Streptophyta; Magnoliopsida; Arecales; Arecaceae
Description: long non-coding RNA (EGUI_LNC069667)
Source: RNAcentral